CCCCGGCUGACUCUAGUCAACGUCUGCAUACCAUCUACCUGCCUCUGCUUCUACCGUCACCGCCUCCGCCUCCGCCUCCACCACCACCGCCGCCGCUACUGCUGCUGCCAUCGCUCGAAAAAUGCGUGAUAUUGACGUACCGCGACCGAUACAUAGUCCAUUAACCUCUCGCCAACGGCGGAAAGGUACAACGAACUGCCGAAAACCACUUUAACUGCUUACCGCGAGACCGCAGAAGCAAUGAUUCAACUUGUCGAUAUCGAUUUCCUGGAGCUGCUUCAACCAAGGUAUCAACGAGUCACUGGUUUUUUUCGGCCCACAUAUUAUACGUCAGUGGCCGUGUUCAUUCGCCGACUCAUGGGAUAAUGCGAUGCGACGAGCGUCAAAAUUUCAAGCUGUCGUAGGAACUGCUUUUCGAGCAGACUUAACCGAAGACAAGGAAGAUGGAUUAUAUACUUUAAUUUUCAUACUGUGUAUAUAAUUGAGGGUUCUUCGUUGUAUAUGCGUUAUAAACGCAACGUUUCUGAAUAUAUUAUAACUUUUUAACAUACAUACAUGUAUGCAUAUGCACUAUGCUACCAUAGUUGAAAAGUUUACGUCUUAUGUAUACAAUUUUUAUAAAUAUCCUGUUAUACGUUUAUGUUCGCCGAUUAAAUUCUGACCAAAACCCAAGCUUCUCUAUUAUGGUAGCUGUGUAUUAAUUUUAUUUUAUCUCUUCUUAAAUUUAAAUAAAGCAACUAUUAUUUCGA
Bombus impatiens (common eastern bumble bee) is the source of this 749-nucleotide long non-coding RNA. RefSeq lists it as uncharacterized. The record is from RefSeq and is a predicted model, not a curated record. The transcript has 2 exons. NCBI's taxonomy places the organism in Eukaryota, Metazoa, Arthropoda, Insecta, Hymenoptera, Apidae.